This 453-nucleotide ribosomal RNA is filed under the name uncultured Streptococcus sp. RNAcentral describes it as "bacterial SSU rRNA". It matches the Rfam family "Bacterial small subunit ribosomal RNA", at positions 927 to 1382 of the family's 1533-position model. Lineage: Bacteria; Bacillati; Bacillota; Bacilli; Lactobacillales; Streptococcaceae. The record is from RNAcentral.
AAGCGGUGGAGCAUGUGGUUUAAUUCGAAGCAACGCGAAGAACCUUACCAGGUCUUGACAUCCCGAUGCUAUUUCUAGAGAUAGAAAGUUACUUCGGUACAUCGGUGACAGGUGGUGCAUGGUUGUCGUCAGCUCGUGUCGUGAGAUGUUGGGUUAAGCCCCGCAACGAGCGCAACCCCUAUUGUUAGUUGCCAUCAUUCAGUUGGGCACUCUAGCGAGACUGCCGGUAAUAAACCGGAGGAAGGUGGGAUGACGUCAAAUCAUCAUGCCCCUUAUGACCUGGGCUACACACGUGCUACAAUGGUUGGUACAACGAGUUGCGAGUCGGUGACGGCGAGCUAAUCUCUUAAAGCCAAUCUCAGUUCGGAUUGUAGGCUGCAACUCGCCUACAUGAAGUCGGAAUCGCUAGUAAUCGCGGAUCAGCACGCCGCGGUGAAUACGUUCCCGGGCCUU